GCUCCCGUAGUUUAAUGGUAGAACGCCGGUCUUAUAAGCCGGAUAAGCUCUAGAUUUGGGCACGGUAUCGGUUCGAGUCCGGUCGGGAGUACCA
Molecule: transfer RNA, 94 nt
Filed under: Candidatus Bathyarchaeota archaeon
Lineage: Archaea; Thermoproteati; Candidatus Bathyarchaeota
Description: tRNA-Ile
Rfam family: tRNA
About the family: Transfer RNA (tRNA) molecules are approximately 80 nucleotides in length. Their secondary structure includes four short double-helical elements and three loops (D, anti-codon, and T loops). Further hydrogen bonds mediate the characteristic L-shaped molecular structure. tRNAs have two regions of fundamental functional importance: the anti-codon, which is responsible for specific mRNA codon recognition, and the 3' end, to which the tRNAs corresponding amino acid is attached (by aminoacyl-tRNA synthetases). tRNAs cope with the degeneracy of the genetic code in two manners: having more than one tRNA (with a specific anti-codon) for a particular amino acid; and 'wobble' base-pairing, i.e. permitting non-standard base-pairing at the 3rd anti-codon position.
Source: RNAcentral